This 653-nucleotide ribosomal RNA is filed under the name Sphingomonas sp. M24C5. Its description in RNAcentral is "bacterial SSU rRNA". It matches the Rfam family "Bacterial small subunit ribosomal RNA", at positions 56 to 753 of the family's 1533-position model. Lineage: Bacteria; Pseudomonadati; Pseudomonadota; Alphaproteobacteria; Sphingomonadales; Sphingomonadaceae. The record is from RNAcentral.
UGCAAGUCGAACGAAAUCCUUCGGGGUUUAGUGGCGCACGGGUGCGUAACGCGUGGGAAUCUGCCCUUGGGUUUGGAAUAACAGUUAGAAAUGACUGCUAAUACCAAAUGAUGACGUAAGUCCAAAGAUUUAUCGCCCAGGGAUGAGCCCGCGUAGGAUUAGCUAGUUGGUGGGGUAAAGGCCUACCAAGGCGACGAUCCUUAGCUGGUCUGAGAGGAUGAUCAGCCACACUGGGACUGAGACACGGCCCAGACUCCUACGGGAGGCAGCAGUGGGGAAUAUUGGACAAUGGGCGAAAGCCUGAUCCAGCAAUGCCGCGUGAGUGAUGAAGGCCUUAGGGUUGUAAAGCUCUUUUACCCGGGAAGAUAAUGACUGUACCGGGAGAAUAAGCCCCGGCUAACUCCGUGCCAGCAGCCGCGGUAAUACGGAGGGGGCUAGCGUUGUUCGGAAUUACUGGGCGUAAAGCGCACGUAGGCGGCUUGGUAAGUUAGAGGUGAAAGCCUGGAGCUCAACUCCAGAAUUGCCUUUAAGACUGCCGAGCUAGUAGGUGAGAGAGGUAAGUGGAAUUCCGAGUGUAGAGGUGAAAUUCGUAGAUAUUCGGAAGAACACCAGUGGCGAAGGCGGCUUACUGGCUCAUUCUAGACGCUGAGGUG